GGGGUAUUUUCCCAGCCCUUAUUCUGGGCCAUAAAUAUUGUUCCCCCUCCCUUCCCAGUGAUUCAAAGCCUGCAAAAUCCUGGUCACUCACAGAAAUUUUAAAAUCAGUUAGUUGCAAUACAAUCAAUCACCUUUAUUCCGGGUUAGAACAAGGCCGUGCACACUGCAGACAGAAGAGCACAAGAUAGGGGCAAUCUCACAGCAAUAUAAGGAGUGGGUGGGCAGGUUAGUCUUUUUAGAUUAUUUUGCCUUACAGAGAAACUACUAGACUCUGCUGAAAAGAACCCUGUCUCUCUUCUCCCAUUUCUUCCAUAAGAAAGGCUCCUUAUUCUCUCUCUCACUCUAAUGUAACAUAUCCCAAAUGGAAGGACAGUUCAUGCUCAUUCCCCCCACCCAAUUCUACAAGUAUCUCUCUCUUCUUAAGGGAGAAGCCAGACAGGGAAAGGGAGACUUGGGAAGGUCCUUUAAGGCAAAACUGUGGAGUCCUAGAGGUGUGUGUGUUAAGGCAGGUGUCUGCAGCAGUGGCCAGAGGGGCAGGGCACGCUAGGCUGGGCUAGGAGUUAAGAGUACUGUCUAACCAGUCUGGCUUCUUCCUUCUUCCAGCAGCCAGCCCUCCCCUCCCAUUAAAGUUUUACUCCCACAUCCUAAAAGCUCCUAACUUGAACUUUGUCUAAAUAGUCUCUGAGACUGCAUGUGAAUUUAAUGUUUUUUGAAAAAGCCUUCUUUUUUGUUUGGACUAUGUAGCAAUUUGAUUCUGCCACUCCCUUCACUGUGGCAUUCCCCUCCCACCCCCGCUCUGGC
RNAcentral lists this long non-coding RNA (801 nucleotides) under Homo sapiens (human). RNAcentral's name for it is "lncAB44.1". Lineage: Eukaryota; Metazoa; Chordata; Mammalia; Primates; Hominidae. The record is from RNAcentral.